GGAAUAACUGUUUCAAUAAAACUAAAAAGAAAUUUCUUAAUAGGUGAAAAUUCCUUUAAUUAAAUAUAAUAGACGAGAAGACCCUAAGAGUUAUAUAUUAAAAUUAUUCAUUUAUAAAAUUUUUGUUGGGGCAACAGAUUUGGUUAAAUCAAUAAUUUUUAAAUUUGCAUAUUAAGUAUAUUUAAUAAGAACUUAAUUACCUUAGGGAUAACAGCAUUAUUAAUAUAUUAGAUUGUGACCUCGAUGUUGGACUAGGGACUUUUAAAGUAAGCCAUUUUAAAAGAUUGUUCUGUUCGAACAUAAAAC
This 306-nucleotide ribosomal RNA is filed under the name Partula cf. otaheitana. RNAcentral describes it as "partial 16S ribosomal RNA". Lineage: Eukaryota; Metazoa; Mollusca; Gastropoda; Stylommatophora; Partulidae. The record is from RNAcentral.